GAGACUGAGGACCACCCCUCUAGUGGGCUGUCAGGCUUAGAACUUUACAAGCUUACUCCUUCCUAAGAGAGGGACCAUGGGCAACCUAAGCAGGGAAGAAAAAGACAUGCAAGCAAGUUCAGGAAACUUCGGGCCUCCGCUGCUGCUUGAACCCCAACACUCCUCCCCUGGGCUGGGAACGCUGGCAUGCUCCCCUGGCGCCCCGGGGCU
Molecule: long non-coding RNA, 210 nt
Filed under: Ictidomys tridecemlineatus (thirteen-lined ground squirrel)
Lineage: Eukaryota; Metazoa; Chordata; Mammalia; Rodentia; Sciuridae
Description: lncRNA (ENSSTOG00000033818.1)
Source: RNAcentral